UAGAUUCAGAGUACAGCCUGUAGGAGUGUAAGCUCCUGGAUUUUGGGCCUAUUCUUCCUUGCUAAACAAAUUAUUGGCAGCUUGCUCAUCCAGAUGCCAAAGGACACAGGCUGGCUACAUUCACACAGAUGCUGGAAGUGGUGCAAAAGCUGUGUUGUAGCCCAUCAAAACAGUGUUGUCAUAGUACGAACAUAAAGAUGCUGCACACCAUGGGUUGUGCUAUGAACACAUACUGGGAAUUCCUGAGGGUGCAAAGUCUUCUGGAGCAGAGUCAGGAAAAGCAUGUGAUGUAUUUAAUGUUUUCAACAGACAGCAAGAAGACAUCAGGGCAGAAAGACAGGGCACCACUUCC
Molecule: long non-coding RNA, 352 nt
Organism: Falco peregrinus (peregrine falcon)
Lineage: Eukaryota; Metazoa; Chordata; Aves; Falconiformes; Falconidae
Exons: 3
Source: RefSeq, a predicted model, not a curated record